RNAcentral lists this ribosomal RNA (466 nucleotides) under uncultured bacterium. RNAcentral's name for it is "bacterial SSU rRNA". It matches the Rfam family "Bacterial small subunit ribosomal RNA", at positions 338 to 795 of the family's 1533-position model. The record is from RNAcentral.
CCUANGGGGGGCUGCAGUCGGGAAUUUUGGGCAAUGGGCGAAAGCCUGACCCAGCAACGCCGCGUGAGGGAUGAAGGCCUUCGGGUCGUAAACCUCUGUCGGGAGGGAAGAACGUCUUCGGGGUAAAUAAUCCCGGAGGCUGACGGUACCUCCAAAGGAAGCACCGGCUAACUCCGUGCCAGCAGCCGCGGUAAUACGGAGGGUGCGAACGUUAAUCGGAAUCACUGGGCGUAAAGCGCGCGUAGGCGGUUCGUUAAGUGGGAUGUGAAAUCCCCGGGCUUAACCUGGGAAUUGCAUUUCAAACUGGCAGACUAGAGUACGGUAGAGGGAGGUAGAAUUUCCUGUGUAGCGGUGAAAUGCGUAGAUAUAGGAAGGAAUACCAGUGGCGAAGGCGGCCUCCUGGAUCGAUACUGACGCUGAGGCGCGAAAGCGUGGGGAGCAAACAGGAUUAGAUACCCCGNUANUC